GUCUCCCCUAUAUUUGCACGACGUCGCACAAGUACAAGAUACAUAAACGGAUACAACCACUAUAACUGAAUAUACAAACAUUCAACAUUCAUACAUUCAUACACCAUUCACCAAUAUAUUUACAAUCAGAGUUUAUUCAGAAAUCCAUAACUAUUAGUUUAAAAUAUUUUCUACCCGGAAACUCAUUUUGAAAUACUAAUUUAUGAAAACUACGAGAAAACCUUUUCAAAACCGUUUCCCAUACGGAAACCCUUUUUCUUUAAAACACGCUACCACGAGAGG
RNAcentral lists this long non-coding RNA (282 nucleotides) under Ananas comosus (pineapple). RNAcentral describes it as "long non-coding RNA (ACOM_LNC037267)". The record is from RNAcentral. Lineage: Eukaryota; Viridiplantae; Streptophyta; Magnoliopsida; Poales; Bromeliaceae.